Molecule: ribosomal RNA, 491 nt
Filed under: uncultured bacterium
Lineage: Bacteria
Description: partial 16S ribosomal RNA
Rfam family: Bacterial small subunit ribosomal RNA
Source: RNAcentral
GUGAACGCUGGCGGUAGGCCUAACACAUGCAAGUCGAACGGCAGCACAGUAAGAGCUUGCUCUUACGGGUGGCGAGUGGCGGACGGGUGAGGAAUACAUCGGAAUCUACUUUUUCGUGGGGGAUAACGUAGGGAAACUUACGCUAAUACCGCAUACGACCUACGGGUGAAAGCAGGGGAUCUUCGGACCUUGCGCGAUUGAAUGAGCCGAUGUCGGAUUAGCUAGUUGGCGGGGUAAAGGCCCACCAAGGCGACGAUCCGUAGCUGGUCAGAGAGGAUGAUCAGCCACACUGGAACUGAGACACGGUCCAGACUCCUACGGGAGGCAGCAGUGGGGAAUAUUGGACAAUGGGCGCAAGCCUGAUCCAGCCAUACCGCGUGGGUGAAGAAGGCCUUCGGGUUGUAAAGCCCUUUUGUUGGGAAAGAAAAGCAGCAGGUUAAUACCCCGCUGUUCUGACGGUACCCAAAGAAUAAGCACCGGCUAACUUCGUG